This 411-nucleotide ribosomal RNA is filed under the name Pseudoalteromonas sp. Its description in RNAcentral is "bacterial SSU rRNA". It matches the Rfam family "Bacterial small subunit ribosomal RNA", at positions 505 to 916 of the family's 1533-position model. The record is from RNAcentral. Lineage: Bacteria; Pseudomonadati; Pseudomonadota; Gammaproteobacteria; Alteromonadales; Pseudoalteromonadaceae.
GUGCCAGCAGCCGCGGUAAUACGGAGGGUGCGAGCGUUAAUCGGAAUUACUGGGCGUAAAGCGUACGCAGGCGGUUUGUUAAGCGAGAUGUGAAAGCCCCGGGCUCAACCUGGGAACUGCAUUUCGAACUGGCAAACUAGAGUGUGAUAGAGGGUGGUAGAAUUUCAGGUGUAGCGGUGAAAUGCGUAGAGAUCUGAAGGAAUACCGAUGGCGAAGGCAGCCACCUGGGUCAACACUGACGCUCAUGUACGAAAGCGUGGGGAGCAAACAGGAUUAGAUACCCUGGUAGUCCACGCCGUAAACGAUGUCUACUAGAAGCUCGGAGCCUCGGUUCUGUUUUUCAAAGCUAACGCAUUAAGUAGACCGCCUGGGGAGUACGGCCGCAAGGUUAAAACUCAAAUGAAUUGACGG